Molecule: ribosomal RNA, 62 nt
Filed under: Cercospora kikuchii
Lineage: Eukaryota; Fungi; Ascomycota; Dothideomycetes; Mycosphaerellales; Mycosphaerellaceae
Description: partial 28S ribosomal RNA
Rfam family: Eukaryotic large subunit ribosomal RNA
Source: RNAcentral
GUUGACCUCGGAUCAGGUAGGGAUACCCGCUGAACUUAAGCAUAUCAAUAAGCGGAGGAGGA